UCGCGUUUAAAGGAGCCGUUUCUCGCACUAAAGUCGAGUGUCUAAUGUCGUUUCCUCGUCACAAACACGAACACACACACACACACACACACCUGGAGCUUGUGUUUUGUUUAACACACAAACCUGCUCCACUGUGUUUUUAAACUCCACACACUUUCACUAGAAUCAUUUGGAUCAUUUCAGACCUGGAGUCGCCGAUUUCUACUGAACUAAAGGAAAAAGGAGCUGUUCACUCGGCUUCAGAUCUAAACCAGGUCUAAACUGGGUCUAAAUUGGGUCUAAACUGGAUCUAAACCAGGACUGGACUAGAUCUGAUCUAAACCAGGUCUAAACUGGGUCUAAACCAGGUCUAAAAAGAACUGAACCCACUCUGAUCUAAAUCAGAACUAAACCAGGUCUAAACCAGGUCUAAACCAGGACUAAACCAGGACUAAACUAGAUCUGAUCUAAACCAGGUCUAAACCCGAACUAAACCAGGACUAAACUAGGUCUUAAUUGGGUCUAAAUUGGGUCUAAACCAGGACUGAACCUGUGUUUUUUAAACUCCACACACCUUCACUAGAAUCAUUUGGAUCAUUUCAGUCCUGGAGUUGCCCGAUCUCGACUGAACUAAAAAUAAAAGGAGUUGUUCACUUGAAAAAUACCACUUCAUGACAUCACAAGGUGGAGCAGAGCGUUUGAUGCUUUGUAGAUGUAAACAGACUCAUAAUAAAGAGUUAAACAAACAAACACAACUCCAGCUCUGAUUGUGACGAGGAAACAUUUUAGUGUCAUACAGAUUUUUACCUGUGUAGUGUUGAUGUUGACUGUGAUUCCGUGUGUCCCUCGUG
Boleophthalmus pectinirostris (great blue-spotted mudskipper) is the source of this 830-nucleotide long non-coding RNA. RefSeq lists it as uncharacterized. NCBI's taxonomy places the organism in Eukaryota, Metazoa, Chordata, Actinopteri, Gobiiformes, Gobiidae. The record is from RefSeq and is a predicted model, not a curated record. The transcript has 3 exons.